UACUAAGAACUUUCCAGAGAUGGAUUGGUGCCUUUCGGGAACUUUAGAUACAGGUGCUGCAUGGCUGUCGUCAGCUCGUGUCGUGAGAUGUUGGGUUAAGUCCCGCAACGAGCGCAACCCUUUUUCCUUAUUUGCCAGCGGGUCAUGCCGGGAACUUUAAGGAUACUGCCAGUGACAAACUGGAGGAAGGCGGGGACGACGUCAAGUCAUCAUGGCCCUUACGGCCAGGGCUACACACGUGCUACAAUGGUCGGUACAAAGGGUUGCUACCUCGCGAGAGGAUGCUAAUCUCAAAAAGCCGAUCGUAGUCCGGAUCGCAGUCUGCAACUCGACUGCGUGAAGUCGGAAUCGCUAGUAAUCGCGGAUCAGAAUGCCGCGGUGAAUACGUUCCCGGGCCUUGUACACACCGCCCGUCACACCAUGGGAGUUUGUUGCACCAGAAGUAGGUAGUCUAACCGCAAGGAGGACGCUUACCACGGUGUGGCCGAUGACUGGGGUGAAGUCGUAACAAGGUAAGCGUAGAUGA
Molecule: ribosomal RNA, 526 nt
Filed under: uncultured bacterium
Lineage: Bacteria
Description: bacterial SSU rRNA
Rfam family: Bacterial small subunit ribosomal RNA
Source: RNAcentral